AAAACUCUCAGAAAAAAAAAAAAAAGUGCCCAACAUCUAUUUUUACAACCUGAGAAAAUGUAGUAAAAAUAAAAUAGCGUGGCCGGCAACGGCUUGUAUGCUUCUGUCUACCCGAGCGAGAUCCGUGCUGCCCAGAAAACAGCAUGCUCCUAAUUAAUUCUUCCAGCAGCAGACUCCCGACUGUUCACUAACAGAUAAGCAAACUGAGGCUCCAAGAGGCAAAACAACCUGCUCCAAGUCCUACAAGAGGAUUCAAGCCUAGACCUGUGCCCCCAUGGUCUUGACCUUCUUCAGCACGCCUUGAUCUCCCCCAGCCCAGGGCUUGUCACAAUUCUGUCUCCUGCGAGCUCCGGGAUGCUGGCACUGUCUCCACCUCCGUCUCUGGGACUUGGAUCUGCACUGUCAGUUCUUCCUAUCGCAUAGGCUCGGCACUGUCUCUCUUCUGAGCCCUUCGGUGCACACGUGGGCUCAGAUGGCCACAACUCAGAAAUCCAUCCCUGCGUUCUGAUCAGGCUCCCACGUCAGGAGUCUCCCAGCGGGCAGUGUGCUUGCUCGCCUCCAGCCGUUCUUGGGAGGAAUGAGGAGAGGAUGAAGAGGAAGGAAAGAAAUAGAAAAAUAAGAUUCGUCCUGAGCCCUUCUCUGAGAGGGGCCCUGAGCUGGGCUCUGCAGAGCUGGUGACUCAGCUGGCUCCCACCCUUGCUCGGGUGAAGGCCAUGCCCGGGCCGGUGGCCAAGGGACAGCAAGACUUCAUCUUCCAUGCCAGCUGCUGGCAGCAAGCCCACACACAGGAGCUGCCGCUAGAGAGCUGCAGGAUGAAUGCACAAAACAGAGCAGCCAAUGCUGGGGACAGAAAUUGCAAGGUCCACCAAGAGGUCUCUGGGGGCUAAAAGGGUCUCCCCACCCAUCCCUCAGUCCCUGGAGUCACCCGGGAGUUUGACAGCAGCUGAGGCCUGCGCAGGGCACUCGGCUCUGGUCUGUUUGUUAUUUUGCGGAACAUCAGAGCAGCAGCCACACGCCAGGCCCUGGCAUGGAGGAGCUGAACUCAUGAUGCUAAGUGAAAGAAGCUAGACAUGAAAGGUCCCAUGGAGCACGAUCCCAUCUGUGUGAAAUAUGCAGAAGAGAGAGAUUCACAAGAGACCGGAAGCUGACUGUUGCUGCAGACGGGGCCUGACCUACACUAGUGAGGGGCAUCUUCCUGUGUCAUCUGGUGAUUCCAACCCCAGUCUCCAAACAGCCCUCUGCGACACGGGUGCCAUAGGUUCACCAUCACUGCCUUGACCCAACCAAGUCUGCC
This is a long non-coding RNA of Heterocephalus glaber (naked mole-rat), 1294 nucleotides long. NCBI's taxonomy places the organism in Eukaryota, Metazoa, Chordata, Mammalia, Rodentia, Bathyergidae. The record is from Ensembl.